Molecule: long non-coding RNA, 882 nt
Filed under: Homo sapiens (human)
Lineage: Eukaryota; Metazoa; Chordata; Mammalia; Primates; Hominidae
Description: HSALNT0241760
Source: RNAcentral
ACAAGGUCUCACUAUGUUGCCUAGGCUGGUCUCGAACUCCUGGUUUCAAGCCAUCCUCCCGCCUCAGCCUCCAGACGUGCUGGGAUUACAGGGGGAAUUGCUGCUGCCUUGGGAAGGCCCCCAGGUGUGGGAGUGGCAGAGCUGGUGGUGACCCUGGCCCAGGUCAUCUGAAGCUACCCUUGUCCUGUGCUCCACAGCUAAAACAACCCUCAGUCCUCUCUGUCCUAUGACAAACAAGACACCGGUGAAGGGAUGAAGAUGGGCAGGCAGGGAUGGCCGGCAGUCCAUAGGAAUGCGGCUGUAACAGUGUCUGCUGCUGCUGUUGAUCACUGCUGGGCUGGGUCCAGCCAGGGCCACAUCCUUGGAGGCCUGAUACUCCACGCAGAUGGUGGUGCAGCCACCUGUCAGCUGUCAGGGCCUGGAGGCAUCUUUCAGCAACCUGAAGACUUUGCACCAUGUGAUGACAUGUGUUAAUGAGACGUGGGCCCUGCAAGGUGGCUCACGCCUGUAAUCCCAGCACUUUAGGAGGCCAACGCUGGAAAGUUGCUUGAUCCCAGGAGUUUGAGACCAGACUUGGCAACAUAGUGAGACCCUAUCUCUACUAAAAAUUAAAUAAACAAACAAAAAAAACUAGCCAGAUGUGGUAAUGUGCGCCUGUAGUCCUAGCUAAUUGGGAGGCUGAGGCGGAAAGAUUGCUGAAGCCCAGGUAUUCAAGGUUGCAGUGAGCUAUGAUCGUGCCACUGCACUCCAGCCUGGGUUAGACCCUGUCUCUAAAAGAAGAGAGAGAGAGACACGAGUAGUGCUCUAGAACCCCCAACCGUGGAGCCAUGCUCUCCCAGCCCCUGGAACCACCUGCCUGAGUCCCAUGCAGACCUGACUCUG